CCAGCAGCUGCGGUAAUUCCAGCUCCAAUAGCGUAUAUUAAAGUUGUUGCAGUUAAAACGCUCGUAGUCUGAGUUUGGCGGUUGGGUGUUUUGGUGGCAGUAAUGUCAUUGGAGGACUCGACGCUUUUGUCUGCCAGAGAUGGUGGGAGUUACUUUGAGGAAAUUAGGGUGUUCAAAGCAGGCGAGAUGCUUGGAUACUGCAGCAUGGAAUAAUGGAAUAGGGCUUGCCGUCUUAUUUUGUUGGUUUGGAGGGGCGAGUAAUGAUUAAUAGGGGCGGUUGGGGGCAUUGGUAUUUGGUAGCUAGAGGUGAAAUUCUUGGAUUUACCAAAGACUAACUAGUGCGAAAGCAUUUGCCAAGGAUGUUUUCAUUGAUCAAGAACGAAAGU
This 386-nucleotide ribosomal RNA is filed under the name uncultured eukaryote. Its description in RNAcentral is "SSU rRNA". It matches the Rfam family "Eukaryotic small subunit ribosomal RNA", at positions 567 to 990 of the family's 1831-position model. The record is from RNAcentral.